This 524-nucleotide ribosomal RNA is filed under the name uncultured bacterium. Its description in RNAcentral is "partial 16S ribosomal RNA". It matches the Rfam family "Bacterial small subunit ribosomal RNA", at positions 355 to 895 of the family's 1533-position model. The record is from RNAcentral.
UGGGGAAUAUUGCACAAUGGGCGGAAGCCUGAUGCAGCAACGCCGCGUGAGUGAUGAAGGCCUUCGGGUUGUAAAGCUCUGUCUUUUGGGACGAUAAUGACGGUACCAAAGGAGGAAGCCACGGCUAACUACGUGCCAGCAGCCGCGGUAAUACGUAGGUGGCAAGCGUUGUCCGGAUUUACUGGGCGUAAAGGAUGCGUAGGCGGAUUUUUAAGUGAGAUGUGAAAACCCUAAGCUUAACUUGGGGACUGCAUUUCAUACUGGAAAUCUAGAGUGCGGGAGAGGAGAAUGGAAUUCCUAGUGUAGCGGUGAAAUGCGUAGAGAUUAGGAAGAACACCAGUGGCGAAGGCGAUUCUCUGGACCGUAACUGACGCUGAGGCAUGAAAGCGUGGGUAGCAAACAGGAUUAGAUACCCUGGUAGUCCACGCCGUAAACGAUGAGUACUAGGUGUAGGAGGUAUCGACCCCUUCUGUGCCGCAGUUAACACAAUAAGUACUCCGCCUGGGAAGUACGAUCGCAAGAUU